This 76-nucleotide transfer RNA is filed under the name Sulfurospirillum sp. RNAcentral describes it as "tRNA-Asn". It matches the Rfam family "tRNA". From Rfam's summary of the family: Transfer RNA (tRNA) molecules are approximately 80 nucleotides in length. The record is from RNAcentral. Lineage: Bacteria; Pseudomonadati; Campylobacterota; Epsilonproteobacteria; Campylobacterales; Sulfurospirillaceae.
UCCGGGUUAGCUCAGUUGGUAGAGCAGGUGGCUGUUAAUCACUUGGUCGUUGGUUCGAGUCCUUCACCCGGAGCCA